RNAcentral lists this ribosomal RNA (253 nucleotides) under uncultured bacterium. RNAcentral's name for it is "partial 16S ribosomal RNA". It matches the Rfam family "Bacterial small subunit ribosomal RNA", at positions 524 to 776 of the family's 1533-position model. The record is from RNAcentral.
UACGUAGGCAGCAAGCGUUGUUCGGAAUUACUGGGCGUAAAGAGUGUGUAGGCGGUGCUCUAAGUCUGUUGUGAAAUCUCCCGGCUUAACCGGGAGGGUGCGGCGGAAACUGGAGUGCUUGAGGGUGGGAGAGGUAAGCGGAAUUCCUGGUGUAGCGGUGAAAUGCGUAGAUAUCAGGAAGAACACCAAUGGCGAAGGCAGCUCUCUGGGACGGUACUGACGCUGAGGAGCGAAAGUGUGGGGAGCGAACAGG